AUACAUAGUAUAAGCUUCUUUGAUGUAUAUCCAAUAACGACUCAAUACACAUCUUUAAGUAAAUCAAUAUAUAGUUUUCAAAAUAUAAUAUUCAUUAGCAUACAACUUAUGGUUAAGUGAUAUACAUUUAACAAAUUAGUUGUUUAGCAACCUACUAUAUAUCUCAAAGAGGAGAAAAACAUCAUAAAUAGAUAAAGAGAGGCUUGAUGAGAA
Molecule: long non-coding RNA, 213 nt
Filed under: Elaeis guineensis (African oil palm)
Lineage: Eukaryota; Viridiplantae; Streptophyta; Magnoliopsida; Arecales; Arecaceae
Description: long non-coding RNA (EGUI_LNC024809)
Source: RNAcentral